GCCCAGCAGAAGGACCGGCGAAC
Molecule: ribosomal RNA, 23 nt
Filed under: Ficus binnendijkii
Lineage: Eukaryota; Viridiplantae; Streptophyta; Magnoliopsida; Rosales; Moraceae
Description: partial 18S ribosomal RNA
Source: RNAcentral